CGCCGAGGGGCUGCACAAGCGGCUGCAGAGACCCGGCCCCCGCGCCAGCACCGAGAUCACGGUGACGGAGGAGAUGGCGGCCGGGCCGGGGCGGGGCCGGGGGGGCCCCGGCGUCCGGGGCGCUGACGAGUGGGACG
This is a long non-coding RNA of Nothoprocta perdicaria, 137 nucleotides long. RefSeq lists it as uncharacterized. Lineage: Eukaryota; Metazoa; Chordata; Aves; Tinamiformes; Tinamidae. The record is from RefSeq and is a predicted model, not a curated record. The transcript has 2 exons.